RNAcentral lists this ribosomal RNA (427 nucleotides) under uncultured bacterium. RNAcentral describes it as "partial 16S ribosomal RNA". It matches the Rfam family "Bacterial small subunit ribosomal RNA", at positions 355 to 774 of the family's 1533-position model. The record is from RNAcentral.
UGGGGAAUAUUGGACAAUGGGCGAAAGCCUGAUCCAGCCAUGCCGCGUGUGUGAAGAAGGUCUUCGGAUUGUAAAGCACUUUAAGUUGGGAGGAAGGGCAUUAACCUAAUACGUUAGUGUUUUGACGUUACCGACAGAAUAAGCACCGGCUAACUCUGUGCCAGCAGCCGCGGUAAUACAGAGGGUGCAAGCGUUAAUCGGAAUUACUGGGCGUAAAGCGCGCGUAGGUGGUUUGUUAGGUUGGAUGUGAAAUCCCCGGGCUCAACCUGGGAACUGCAUUCAAAACUGACUGACUAGAGUAUGGUAGAGGGUGGUGGAAUUUCCUGUGUAGCGGUGAAAUGCGUAGAUAUAGGAAGGAACACCAGUGGCGAAGGCGACCACCUGGACUAAUACUGACACUGAGGUGCGAAAGCGUGGGGAGCAAACA